RNAcentral lists this transfer RNA (83 nucleotides) under Bacteroidota bacterium. RNAcentral describes it as "Bacteroidetes bacterium tRNA-Leu". It matches the Rfam family "tRNA". From Rfam's summary of the family: Transfer RNA (tRNA) molecules are approximately 80 nucleotides in length. Their secondary structure includes four short double-helical elements and three loops (D, anti-codon, and T loops). Further hydrogen bonds mediate the characteristic L-shaped molecular structure. tRNAs have two regions of fundamental functional importance: the anti-codon, which is responsible for specific mRNA codon recognition, and the 3' end, to which the tRNAs corresponding amino acid is attached (by aminoacyl-tRNA synthetases). tRNAs cope with the degeneracy of the genetic code in two manners: having more than one tRNA (with a specific anti-codon) for a particular amino acid; and 'wobble' base-pairing, i.e. permitting non-standard base-pairing at the 3rd anti-codon position. Lineage: Bacteria; Pseudomonadati; Bacteroidota. The record is from RNAcentral.
GCCGGAGUGGCGGAAUUGGUAGACGCGCAGGUCUUAGGAACCUGUGUCCACUGGAUGUGUGGGUUCGAGUCCCACCUCCGGCA